AUCAUUACCUAGAGUUGUAGGCUUUGCCUGCUAUCUCUUACCCAUGUCUUUUGAGUACCUUCGUUUCCUCGGCGGGUCCGCCCGCCGAUUGGACAAUUUAAACCAUUUGCAGUUGCAAUCAGCGUCUGAAAAAACUUAAUAGUUACAACUUUCAACAACGGAUCUCUUGGUUCUGGCAUCGAUGAAGAACGCAGCGAAAUGCGAUAAGUAGUGUGAAUUGCAGAAUUCAGUGAAUCAUCGAAUCUUUGAACGCACAUUGCGCCCCUUGGUAUUCCAUGGGGCAUGCCUGUUCGAGCGUCAUUUGUACCUUCAAGCUCUGCUUGGUGUUGGGUGUUUGUCUCGCCUCUGCGUGUAGACUCGCCUCAAAACAAUUGGCAGCCGGCGUAUUGAUUUCGGAGCGCAGUACAUCUCGCGCUUUGCACUCAGAACGACGACGUCCAAAAGUACAUUUUUACACUCUUGACCUCGGAUCAGGUAGGGAUACC
This 485-nucleotide ribosomal RNA is filed under the name Didymella heteroderae. RNAcentral describes it as "eukaryotic LSU rRNA". The stretch from base 147 to 300 matches the Rfam family "5.8S ribosomal RNA". Lineage: Eukaryota; Fungi; Ascomycota; Dothideomycetes; Pleosporales; Didymellaceae. The record is from RNAcentral.